CAGUGAUGUGACUGGUCUUUUGAUCUGUGGUGUGUUGGUUAUUCACAGUGAGGCUACUUAGUUUGAUUGCACGUUCCCUUGGUCCCUAGUUAUUCAGAUCUUUGUUGUGUAUAUUGGCUAUUAUAGGUUCAGAUUCAUCGUUUGGAGUAGAAUGCACCUAGAUAGGAUCUAUCGAUCUUGGUAAGAAAGGAGAAGUCCUAUGCAAUUUACAAGAC
This 215-nucleotide long non-coding RNA is filed under the name Elaeis guineensis (African oil palm). RNAcentral describes it as "long non-coding RNA (EGUI_LNC031246)". Lineage: Eukaryota; Viridiplantae; Streptophyta; Magnoliopsida; Arecales; Arecaceae. The record is from RNAcentral.